UACGAAGGGGGCUAGCGUUGUUCGGAAUUACUGGGCGUAAAGCGCACGUAGGCGGACUUUUAAGUCAGGGGUGAAAUCCCGGGGCUCAACCUCGGAACUGCCUUUGAUACUGGAAGUCUUGAGUAUGGAAGAGGUAAGUGGAAUUGCGAGUGUAGAGGUGAAAUUCGUAGAUAUUCGCAGGAACACCAGUGGCGAAGGCGGCUUACUGGUCCAUUACUGACGCCGAGGUGCGAAAGGCGUGGGGAGCAAACAGG
This 254-nucleotide ribosomal RNA is filed under the name uncultured bacterium. Its description in RNAcentral is "partial 16S ribosomal RNA". It matches the Rfam family "Bacterial small subunit ribosomal RNA", at positions 524 to 776 of the family's 1533-position model. The record is from RNAcentral.